GAUGAACGCUGGCGGCGUGCCUAAUACAUGCAAGUCGAGCGAACAGACGAGGAGCUUGCUCCUCUGACGUUAGCGGCGGACGGGUGAGUAACACGUGGAUAACCUACCUAUAAGUCUGGGAUAACUUCGGGAAACCGGCGCUAAUCCCGGAUAAUAUAUUGAACCGCAUGGUUCAAUAGUGAAAGACGGUUUUGCUGUCACUUAUCGCUGCAUCUCGGCCGCAUUAGCUAGUUGGUAAGGUAACGGCUUACCACGGCAACGAUGCGUAGCCGACCUGGGAGGGUGAUAGGCCACCCUGGAACUGAGACACGGUCCAGAGUCCUACGGGAGGCAGCAGUAGGGAAUCUUCCGCAAUGGGCGGAAGCCUGACGGAGCAACGCCGCGUGAGUGAUGAAGGUCUUCGGAUCGUAAAACUCUGUUAUGAGGGAAGAACAAAUGUGUAAGUAAAUAUGCACGGCUUGACGGUACCUAAUCAGAAAGCCACGGCUAACUACGUG
Molecule: ribosomal RNA, 497 nt
Filed under: uncultured bacterium
Lineage: Bacteria
Description: partial 16S ribosomal RNA
Rfam family: Bacterial small subunit ribosomal RNA
Source: RNAcentral